RNAcentral lists this ribosomal RNA (835 nucleotides) under uncultured Candidatus Sumerlaeota bacterium. RNAcentral describes it as "bacterial SSU rRNA". It matches the Rfam family "Bacterial small subunit ribosomal RNA", at positions 8 to 825 of the family's 1533-position model. The record is from RNAcentral. Lineage: Bacteria; Candidatus Sumerlaeota.
AGAGUUUGAUUAUGGCUCAGAACGAACGCUGGCGGCAGGCCUCAUACAUGCAAGUCGCACGAUUAAAGCUCCCUUCGGGGAGUGUAUAAAGUGGCAAACGGGUGAGUAACAGGUGGAUAAUCUGCCCCUUGGCGGGGGAUAACGGUUGGAAACGGCCGCUAAUACCGCAUGUGAUUGCUUUUUCAUCGGGAGAAGCAAAGAAAGGCGCUUCACGGCGCCGCCAAGGGAUGAGUCCGCCCCCCAUUAGCUAGUUGGUAAGGUAACGGCUUACCAAGGCUUCGAUGGGUAGCCGAGCUGAGAGGUUGAUCGGCCACACUGGGACUGAGAUACGGCCCAGACACCUACGGGUGGCAGCAGUAGGGAAUAUUGCGCAAUGGACGAAAGUCUGACGCAGCCAUGCCGCGUGAGUGAUGAAGGCCUUCGGGUCGUAAAGCUCUUUUCUGAGGGAAGAACAUCCAAUAGAGGAAAUGCUAUUGGCUUGACGGUACCUCAGGAAUAAGGAGCGGCUAACUCCGUGCCAGCAGCCGCGGUAAUACGGAGGCUCCUAGCGUUGUUCGGAAUUACUGGGCGUAAAGGGAGCGCAGGCGGGGUGAUAAGUCUGAAGUGGAAGUCCGAGGCUCAACCUCGGAAGUGCUUCGGAUACUGUCACUCUUGAGAUCGUGAGAGGAAAGCGGAAUUCAGGGUGUAGCGGUGAAAUGCUUAGAUAUCCUGAGGAACACCAAUGGCGAAAGCAGCUUUCUGGCACUGAUCUGACGCUGAGGCUCGAAAGCGUGGGUAGCGAACGGGAUUAGAUACCCCGGUAGUCCACGCCGUAAACGUUGUCAACUAGGUGCGA